Molecule: long non-coding RNA, 276 nt
Filed under: Mus spicilegus (steppe mouse)
Lineage: Eukaryota; Metazoa; Chordata; Mammalia; Rodentia; Muridae
Description: lncRNA (ENSMSIG00000013854.1)
Source: RNAcentral
GAAUAGGCACAAUUAAAGAGGAAAUUUGUGAACUGAAGACAUAUUAGAGAGGAAAAAACACAUCAAUCAAGCAUGAAGGGAUAAAAUGUCUUGUAGAGAUACCAUCUAAAGAUUCAGCUGCAAAAGAGGGACAAAGUCUAUGUCCAUCUGGGAUUUUGAGACUUUAGAUAAAAGAUGUAGACACUGACUUGGCAGGAAAGUCACACAACAAGAGAAAAAGCUACGGAUUGAAAUCCCACUAAGAUAGUCUCUCCUUUUGGUGCUAACAGUUCAGGG